CAAAUAUUAUCUCAGCUCCAAUGUGACAAUGGCGAGCGCUAGCGAGACAGAGAGAAGCAAAUUUGAAGAGGCACCGACCUCUUUCAAAUCAGCUGUGUGGGAACAUUUUGAAUUCAGCGUUCAAUACGAUGACGAGGAGACAGAAACCAGGUCUACUCAAGUCAUGCUGCCAUUUUUCUGAAUGGAACGUUUUUUGUUGUUGUUGUCUAUAGGCAAAAUAAAGAGUUCAUUGUUUAAAGGA
Molecule: non-coding RNA, 241 nt
Organism: Salmo salar (Atlantic salmon)
Lineage: Eukaryota; Metazoa; Chordata; Actinopteri; Salmoniformes; Salmonidae
Source: RefSeq, a predicted model, not a curated record